CUAGUGAUCGAUAGUGAACCAGUACCGUGAGGGAAAGGUGAAAAGCACCCCGGAAGGGGAGUGAAAGAGAUCCUGAAACCGUGUGCCUACAAAUAGUCAGAGCCCGUUAACGGGUGAUGGCGUGCCUUUUGUAGAAUGAACCGGCGAGUUACGAUCCCGUGCGAGGUUAAGCUGAAGAGGCGGAGCCGCAGCGAAAGCGAGUCUGAAUAGGGCGUUUAGUACGUGGUCGUAGACCCGAAACCAGGUGAUCUACCCAUGUCCAGGGUGAAGUUCAGGUAACACUGAAUGGAGGCCCGAACCCACGCACGUUGAAAAGUGCGGGGAUGAGGUGUGGGUAGCGGAGAAAUUCCAAUCGAACCUGGAGAUAGCUGGUUCUCCCCGAAAUAGCUUUAGGGCUAGCCUUAAGUGUAAGAGUCUUGGAGGUAGAGCACUGAUUGGACUAGGGGUCCUCAUCGGAUUACCGAAUUCAGUCAAACUCCGAAUGCCAAUGACUUAUCCUUAGGAGUCAGACUGCGAGUGAUAAGAUCCGUAGUCAAAAGGGAAACAGCCCAGACCGCCAGCUAAGGUCCCAAAGUGUGUAUUAAGUGGAAAAGGAUGUGGAGUUGCUUAGACAACUAGGAUGUUGGCUUAGAAGCAGCCACCAUUUAAAGAGUGCGUAAUAGCUCACUAGUCGAGUGACUCUGCGCCGAAAAUGUACCGGGGCUAAAUACACCACCGAAGCUGCGGAUUGAUACCGAAUGGUAUCAGUGGUAGGGGAGCGUUCUAAGGACAGUGAAGUCAGACCGUAAGGACUGGUGGAGUGCUUAGAAGUGAGAAUGCCGGUAUGAGUAGCGAAAGACGGGUGAGAAUCCCGUCCACCGAAUGCCUAAGGUUUCCUGAGGAAGGCUCGUCCGCUCAGGGUUAGUCAGGACCUAAGCCGAGGCCGACAGGCGUAGGCGAUGGACAACAGGUUGAUAUUCCUGUACCACCUCUUUAUCGUUUGAGCAAUGGAGGGACGCAGAAGGAUAGAAGAAGCGUGCGAUUGGUUGUGCACGUCCAAGCAGUUAGGCUGAUAAGUAGGCAAAUCCGCUUAUCGUAAAGGCUGAGCUGUGAUGGGGAAGCUCCUUAUGGAGCGAAGUCUUUGAUUCCCCGCUGCCAAGAAAAGCUUCUAGCGAGAUAAAAGGUGCCUGUACCGCAAACCGACACAGGUAGGCGAGGAGAGAAUCCUAAGGUGUGCGAGAGAACUCUGGUUAAGGAACUCGGCAAAAUGACCCCGUAACUUCGGGAGAAGGGGUGCUUUCUUAACGGAAAGCCGCAGUGAAUAGGCCCAAGCGACUGUUUAGCAAAAACACAGCUCUCUGCGAAGCCGUAAGGCGAAGUAUAGGGGGUGACACCUGCCCGGUGCUGGAAGGUUAAGGAGAGGGGUUAGCGUAAGCGAAGCUCUGAACUGAAGCCCCAGUAAACGGCGGCCGUAACUAUAACGGUCCUAAGGUAGCGAAAUUCCUUGUCGGGUAAGUUCCGACCCGCACGAAAGGUGUAACGAUUUGGGCACUGUCUCAACCAGAGACUCGGUGAAAUUAUAGUACCUGUGAAGAUGCAGGUUACCCGCGACAGGACGGAAAGACCCCGUGGAGCUUUACUGUAGCCUGAUAUUGAAUUUUGGUACAGUUUGUACAGGAUAGGCGGGAGCCAUUGAAACCGGAGCGCUAGCUUCGGUGGAGGCGCUGGUGGGAUACCGCCCUGACUGUAUUGAAAUUCUAACCUACGGGUCUUAUCGACCCGGGAGACAGUGUCAGGUGGGCAGUUUGACUGGG
This 1793-nucleotide ribosomal RNA is filed under the name Bacillus cereus. RNAcentral's name for it is "partial 23S ribosomal RNA". It matches the Rfam family "Bacterial large subunit ribosomal RNA", at positions 477 to 2278 of the family's 2925-position model. The record is from RNAcentral. Lineage: Bacteria; Bacillati; Bacillota; Bacilli; Caryophanales; Bacillaceae.